Molecule: ribosomal RNA, 253 nt
Filed under: uncultured bacterium
Lineage: Bacteria
Description: partial 16S ribosomal RNA
Rfam family: Bacterial small subunit ribosomal RNA
Source: RNAcentral
UACGAAGGGGGCUAGCGUUGCUCGGAAUUACUGGGCGUAAAGCGCACGUAGGCGGCUUUCUAAGUCGGGGGUGAAAUCCUGGAGCUCAACUCCAGAACUGCCUUCGAUACUGGAGAGCUCGAGUCCGGGAGAGGUGAGUGGAACUGCGAGUGUAGAGGUGAAAUUCGUAGAUAUUCGCAAGAACACCAAUGGCGAAAGCAGCUCUCUGGGACGGUACUGACGCUGAGACGCGAAAGCGUGGGGAGCAAACAGG